Molecule: ribosomal RNA, 500 nt
Filed under: uncultured bacterium
Lineage: Bacteria
Description: partial 16S ribosomal RNA
Rfam family: Bacterial small subunit ribosomal RNA
Source: RNAcentral
AUUGAACGCUGGCGGCAUGCCUUACACAUGCAAGUCGAACGGCAGCACGGGAGCAAUCCUGGUGGCGAGUGGCGAACGGGUGGGUAAAGUAUCGGAACGUGCCCAGUCGUGGGGGAUAACGUAGCGAAAGUUACGCUAAUACCGCAUACGAUCUAUGGAUGAAAGCGGGGGAUCGCAAGACCUCGCGCGAUUGGAGCGGCCGAUAUCAGAUUAGGUAGUGGGUGGGGUAAAGUCACACCAAGCCGACGAUCUGUAGCUGGUCUGAGAGGACCACCAGCCAUACUGGGCGUAAAACACGGCCCAGAAUCCUACGGGAGGCAGCAGUGGGGAAUUUUGGACAAUGAGCGAAAGCCUGAUCCAGCCAUGCCGCGUGCAGGAUGAAGGCCUUCGGGUUGUAAACUGCUUUUGUACGGAACGAAAAGGUUUGGGCUAAUAAGCUGAGCUCAUGACGGUACCGUAAGAAUAAGCACCGGCUAACUACGUGCCAGCCGCCGCCGUAA